AGUAACGCGUGGGUAACCUGCCUUAUACAGGGGGAUAACAGUCAGAAAUGGCUGCUAAUACCGCAUAAGCGCACAGAGCUGCAUGGCUCAGUGUGAAAAACUCCGGUGGUAUAAGAUGGACCCGCGUUGGAUUAGCUAGUUGGUGGGGUAACGGCCCACCAAGGCGACGAUCAGUAGCCGGCCUGAGAGGGUGAUCGGCCACAUUGGGACUGAGACACGGCCCAA
This 225-nucleotide ribosomal RNA is filed under the name uncultured bacterium. RNAcentral describes it as "partial 16S ribosomal RNA". It matches the Rfam family "Bacterial small subunit ribosomal RNA", at positions 109 to 334 of the family's 1533-position model. The record is from RNAcentral.